GAUGAAUGCUGGCGGCGUGCCUAAUACAUGCAAGUCGAGCGGCAGCGCGUCUAGUUUACUAGAUGGCGGCGAGCGGCGGACGGCUGAGUAACGCGUAGGAAUGUGCCCCAAAGUGAGGAAUAACUGCCCGAAAGGGUAGCUAAUGCCGCAUAUGGUCUUCGGAUUAAAGGAUUUAUCCGCUUUGGGAGCAGCCUGCGUACGAUUAGAUAGUUGGUGAGGUAAUGGCUCACCAAGUCGACGAUCGUUAGCUGGUCUGAGAGGAUGAUCAGCCAGACUGGAACUGAGACACGGUCCAGACUCCUACGGGAGGCAGCAGUAAGGAAUCUUCCACAAUGGGCGAAAGCCUGAUGGAGCAACGCCGCGUGCAGGAUGAAGGCCUUCGGGUUGUAAACUGCUUUUAUGAGUGAAGAAUAUGACGGUAACUCAUGAAUAAGCACCGGCUAACUACGUGCCAG
Molecule: ribosomal RNA, 455 nt
Filed under: uncultured bacterium
Lineage: Bacteria
Description: bacterial SSU rRNA
Rfam family: Bacterial small subunit ribosomal RNA
Source: RNAcentral